This 531-nucleotide ribosomal RNA is filed under the name Triticum aestivum (bread wheat). RNAcentral's name for it is "partial small subunit ribosomal RNA". Lineage: Eukaryota; Viridiplantae; Streptophyta; Magnoliopsida; Poales; Poaceae. The record is from RNAcentral.
AUGAAUCCCGUGCACCAGAGACCAACGGGUGCGGCAAUAGCGAGGUCUACUCGCUGGGUAAAACCACGCGAAGGAGCCGCAAAGGUAAAUGUCGACGCCGCUGUAUCUCGACGGGGCUAUGGUGCUGUUGGCGCCAUCUGCAUGGAUCAAGAAGGGGCCUUUUUGGGAGCCUCGACUCUUUUUUUCAAAGAUAUCGCUGAUCCACAAACCCUCGAGGCGCUGGCGACAAGGGAAGCAUUGGCUCUCUCGGAGGACCUCUAUCUUCGGAGGAUCCAUGUAGCAUCGGACUGCAAAGGGGUGGUCGAGGACGUCAAGAAGGAAAAUGCAGCGAGCUAUGGAGCAAUUAUUCAUGAAAUAAUAGAUCAUUCUAUGUCUUUUGAUUUCUGUCAUUUUAGUCAUGAGUUUAGGAGCUCGAAUAUCAAAGCUCACAACUUAGCGAAGCAUGCUCUUAAUCUCGGUGGUGACCGCCAUGUUUGGUUAGGACAUCCCGGGAAUCUCUCGUUCGUCCCUGUAACUGUGGUGACGGAUUAA